GACGAGCGCUGGCGGCGUGCUUAACACAUGCAAGUCGAACGGAAAGGCUCCAGCUUGCUGGAGUACUCGAGUGGCGAACGGGUGAGUAACACGUGGGUAAUCUGCCCUGCACUCUGGGAUAAGCCUGGGAAACUGGGUCUAAUACUGGAUAUGACCUUUCUCCUUAUGGGGUUUGGUGGAAAGUUUUUCGGUGUAGGAUGAGCCCGCGGCCUAUCAGCUUGUUGGUGGGGUGAUGGCCUACCAAGGCGACGACGGGUAGCCGGCCUGAGAGGGUGAUCGGCCACAUUGGGACUGAGAUACGGCCCAGACUCCUACGGGAGGCAGCAGUGGGGAAUAUUGCACAAUGGGCGGAAGCCUGAUGCAGCGACGCCGCGUGAGGGAUGACGGCCUUCGGGUUGUAAACCUCUUUCAGCAGGGACGAAGCGUAAGUGACGGUACCUGCAGAAGAAGCACCGGCUAACUACGUG
Molecule: ribosomal RNA, 467 nt
Filed under: uncultured bacterium
Lineage: Bacteria
Description: partial 16S ribosomal RNA
Rfam family: Bacterial small subunit ribosomal RNA
Source: RNAcentral